UGCAGCUCAAUCCCCCCCAACAUUCCCUCUCUAUAGCUGCAGCUCGGCAGAGUUUGAUCAAUAACGUGUCCUUCAUUCUCAAGUCGGGCCUGACCUUGGCAGCCUUUUGUCUCUUUCCAGGGGCCAGAGUGCGCAUGUACAGGUUGGAAAACAAGGCUCUCAAAAAUCCACCCAUGGAAGGAAAAGAAUUCCCCCCACUGCCUCCACACUACAGCUUUCUCAUUAAGAGCCUAAUGAAUCAUAUAUUUAUAGCGUUCUUAUCUUAGCGUAAUGAGGGCAACGUCAAUGGAGACGGCAGAGCCAAUCCCAACCUGACUUAGGAACAAAGAGCACCUGUGUGCAGUCACAGAUGACAAAAGCCGUGAUGGAAACUGGCUUCUGCUGGACAGCGGACUUGUAGCUGGGCACCAGAUGUACAAGGAGGAGAGCAAUGUCUGGAUCUUAAGCCAAACUGAGUGCCAUGUUACAAGAGAAUUCCUGAGGCGAGCCAAUGGCCCGAUAAAUCUGCCGGAGCCUCUCUCUCAAUUUGUCUCCAUGGAAUGUCAGCUGGCAAGCGCCCAGACACUGAGAACCUCUUUUCACAAUGCGCCAAUCUAACAGACGAGAUCCCAUGUUGGAGCUACAGUACAAGGACUGGCAUGGAUAAAUUGCCACGUGCCUUAUCUAGGUCUCUUUAUGUCUAACUGUCUGAGGUCUUGCUCCUCACACGGCCUCCGAAGGCCACUUCCUCCUAGACCUGGCGGUUAACCUAAACGGCUGAGUGGAUGACAUUGACAAAAUGCAGGUGUCACCAAAGAGGAAGCUGUGAUAUGACACAGAUGCUGUGUCAACCUGUCUUCCUCCAUAUGACCCACAGUGUGAACAGAAAUUGUGCUGUUUGGUGUCGUUCUUCACUGUGUGGCGCAGUCUCCCACAUAGCUCGGUCCAGGUGGUGGAAUGGCAGAGUGGGAGAACAGACCAUGUUUGUGUGAAGAUGCAACAACUAUCUCUCUUUUUUUCUUUCUCACUCAUUCCCUCCCUGCCUCCCUCCCUCCCUCCGUCUUCAGACUGCUGUAGCACUCUUUGUACUCUAUUUAAAGGUUGUAGGUUAGCAAACAACAAGAUGCCUUCCCACCUGUACCCCUAAAUGAGUCAUGAGCCAUGAAUGAAUUCGUCCAUUUAUUUAUGUACAGUAUUUGCAGGAAAAAUACAUACAUGUAUACAAAGAUGAACAGGAGCAUAGAUUGUUCUUUCCCCAUCAAGAUAUCAUGUUGCAAUCAUUGAUUUAUAAAUGAUUUACUGUUUACCACAAAAUUUUGUUAAUGUUACUGUUAACAUUAUGUUAAUAGCUUACACAACUGUAUCGCGUAUAGAAAUCGGAAUUAAGUUUAUCUUUAUAUCAUAUAAUGCAGUAAUGACUUAGAAAAAUGCACAUAGACACAGAUGAUAUUAUCCUCCUGUUACAUUGCUGUACAGUUAGAUUAUGACUAUGCAUGUCUGUUGAAUCACAGUGUGGUUAUCUGGGCAUAUUAAAAUAUCUUUAUUUUGUAAAUCAGAAACUAUCAAAUGAUUCAGGACAAAA
This is a long non-coding RNA of Seriola aureovittata, 1561 nucleotides long. RefSeq lists it as uncharacterized. The record is from RefSeq and is a predicted model, not a curated record. Lineage: Eukaryota; Metazoa; Chordata; Actinopteri; Carangiformes; Carangidae. The transcript has 4 exons.